RNAcentral lists this ribosomal RNA (292 nucleotides) under uncultured bacterium. RNAcentral describes it as "partial 16S ribosomal RNA". It matches the Rfam family "Bacterial small subunit ribosomal RNA", at positions 505 to 796 of the family's 1533-position model. The record is from RNAcentral.
GUGCCAGCAGCCGCGGUAAUACGAAUGGAGCGAGCGUUGUUCGGAAUCACUGGGCGUAAAGGGUGCGCAGGCGGUCAUGAAAGUUAGAAGUGAAAUCCCAGGGCUCAACCCUGGAAUUGCUUUUAAAACUCCAUGACUAGAGUACUGGAGAGGUUAGCGGAAUUCCGAGUGUAGCAGUGAAAUGCGUAGAUAUUCGGAGGAACACCAAUGGCGUAGGCAGCUAACUGGACAGUAACUGACGCUCAUGCACGAAAGCGUGGGGAUCAAACAGGAUUAGAUACCCCGGUAGUCC